GGCGGGAGGGGCACAUGGAUGGGAACAUCCCAGCGGGUCCAGGCCUCUGCUCCCCCCAGCUCCUCCUCCCUGGCCGGCAGCUCUUCUGGGCUCCCGAGGUGCUGCGCAGCCCCUUCCCUGGCCCUGGGACCCCCAGUGCCUGAGAUGAAAGAGGAGUUGCUUCCAUGGAGGGUCCCAGUGCAGGCUGGGGGGCGCUGGCCCUCAGGACACCAGGCCCCCAAGACAUAGGGACACCAGAAGCCCCCGCUCUGCCUCCAAGGUCCAGUAGCCCCAAAGCCCCUGCUCAGAGGCCAGCGAUGGGAGGGCAGGGCCUGCCUGUGGGACCCACCAUGGGCCCAGCAAUCCCCAGGCCCUGGGCAGACAGCAGCGCAGCCUGUGAGUCCAGGGCUGGGGAGCAGGCAGGUGACAACCAGUGUCCUACUUUCCUGCAGGACCCAAAACACCCAAAUCAACAGGGCGGAGAAGGCCCAGAGGAGGGGACCUGAGGGAGCCAGCCGGGCGCUCAGCCUGCUUCGCUGGGAUGCUUGUCGAGGUCGGGACGGCACCACCAAACUCACCUCUGUGCGCCCUGCGGGGCCCAGGAGACUCGGUCCUCCCCGGGCUCCCCCAGGCCUGGGGUGGACGUUGGAAUAAAGUGGGGACAACACGAUGAGACCCCAGCCCCGGAGGUGCCCUCGGCAGGAGCCCAAGAUCAAAGCUAGGAGAUUCGUGGCUGGACAGCACCACCUGGUGGACACAUUGGAGAUUACCAAAGCCAAACAGUCAAUUCGUUCUUGGUUCUGGGAUUUUCUUAAUUGGGUCUCAGCUAGGGCUUCCUUUCUCUUUCCCCAGUAGCAAGGGCUUUGUGACUAUCAGAAACACCUGCCAGGCCUGGGCAAUAUGGCGAGACUUCAUCUCUACAAAAAAAAAAACACACACACACACAAAAAUUAGUGAGGCGUGGUGGUCCCAGAUACUCAGGACGCUGAGAUGGGACGAUCGCUUGAACCUGGGAGGUCGAGGCUGCAGUGAGUCGUGAUCAUGCCACCGCACUCCAGUCAGGGUGACAGAGAGAGACCCUGUCUCUAAAGAAAGAAAAGAUAAGAAAAGGCCGGGAGCAGUAGCUCACGCCUGUAAUCCUAACACUUUGGGAGGCCGAGGUGGGCGGAUUAUCUGAGGUCGGGAGUUCGAGACCAGCCUGACCAACAUGGAGAAACCCUGUCUCUACUAAAAAAUACAAAAAUUAGCCAGGCAUGGUGGCGCAUGCCUGUAAUCCCAGGUACUUGGGAGGCUGAGGCAGGAAAACCGCUUGAACCCGGGAGGCAGAAGUUGCAGUGAGCCGAGAUCACGCCAUUGCACUCCAGCCUGGGCAACAAGAGUGAAACUCCAUCUCAAAAAAAAAAAAGAAAGAAAGAAAAGAGAAGAAGCCCCUGUCUUCUAAUAAGAUGUUGUUGGUUUUCAGAGAGCCCAAUCCAGGCACUUCAAACAAGGCAGGGAAAGCAAUGGCCCUGAAGAAAGUUUCUCUUCAACAAGCCCCUCCCUCCCUGGCACUGGCACACUGGCACCCUGGCAUUCACCCACCAGCCCCUCCCUCCCUAACACUGGCAUUCUGGCAUUCACCCACCAGCCCCUCCAUCCCUGACACUGGCACCCUGGCAGUCACCCACCAGCCCCUCCAUCCCUGACACUGGCAUUCUGGCAUUCACCCACCAGCCCCUCCCGUCCCUGACACUGGCACCCUGGCAUUCACCCACUGUCCAGGGCAACUAACCUUUCCUCCCACCACUGACGGGAAGGCACCCUGGCCUACCACUUUUGAGGGGAAAAAAAUUAGAAAUCCCUGGCCAAAGAGGGGACAAAUUGAGCCUAAAAUCAAGCCUUGGUAUCUCGCUUUUUAAAUCUACUUUUACCUUUUGUGUAUUGGUUGUGUAAUUUUUUGUGUACUCAUUGUGUAUAAUUGCUGAAUACACAAUGAAUACACAAAAGCUAUAAAUAGAUUUAAAGAGAGAAACCAAACCAAAACCCAUCGGUAAUGCACUGGAAAAACAAGCCUCCAACUCUCUACUCAGAACAUUGUCAAUUAAAAGAAAAGAAUUAGGAAUUUCCCUUUUAACUAUAUUUCAGGAUAACUCAAUAACUCUAGUGGACAACAGCAAGUUUUUUUGGUUUUUGUUUGUUUGGUUUCUUUUUUUUGAGAUGGAGUCUUGCUCUAUUGCCCAGGCUGGAGUGCAAUGGCACAACCUCGGCUCACUGCAGCCUCUGUCUCCUGGGUUCAAGUGAUUCUCCUGCCUCAGACUCCUGAGUAGCUGAGAGUACAGGUGCCCGCAACCAGGCCCUGCUAAUUUUUUAUAUUUUUAGUAGAGAUGGGGUUUCACCAUGUUGGCCAGGGUGGUCUCAAACUCCUGACCUCAGGUGAUCCACCCACCUCAGCCUCUCAAAGUGCUGGGAUUACAGGUGUGAGCCACCACACCCAGCCUGUUUGGUUGUUUUAUUUAAGAGACAGGGACUCGCUCCAUCACUCAGGCUGAAGUGCAGCGGUGUAAUCACAGCUCACUGCAGCCUUAACCUCUUGGGCUCAAAGGAUCCUUCUACCUCAGCCCCUGAGUAGCUGAGACUACAGGCGCGCACCACCACACCUGGCUAAUGUUUUAUUUUUUUGUAGAGAUGGGGUCUUGCCAUGUUGCCCAGGCUGGAUUCAAGCUCCUGGCCUCUCUCAGCUUGGCCCACAAAAGCUCUGGGAUUACAGGCGUGAGCCACUGUGCCCAGCCUUUUUUGUUGUUGUUGUUUUUAACAGAACAAUUUCAGCUACUCAUUGUGAAGAGACAAGAUCAUGAGAGAAACCGCGAUUUUGCCACCUCUCAUGACAUAAUUGUUUCUCACAAGGGUCAUGGAUGAGAUCAGUAAUGACAAAACAAGGGCAUCACAGGGUAGGUCCGGGCCGUGGCCACCUGGACCCACAGGGUGGAUCCCGGCUAUGACCACCUGGACCUACUGGGCACACUUAGCAUCACAGGGUGGGCCCAGGCAAUGGGCACCUGGACCCACUGAGCACACUUAGCAUUACAGGUGCUUCCAUGUGGCUCUCACAGCUCUGCCCACGAAGGCUGGCAAAGAAAGAUGAGCCCGAAUCUAAGGGCGUUUCUGCAGCACAGCUUCCAUUUGCAGGAGACACGGGGCGAGGCGACACCACAGAGAGGAAAACAGCUGCGCGAUAGGCGACACAUUUGCAGGACAGCUGAUCUGGUUUCUGCAACAAAUCACAAGUGGCGGGAGGAGCAAUGGGGGUCGGGGCGGCGCCUGAUCUAGAGUAAGAGAGGUUCCAGAGGCGCCACCACAAAACUUAAACUGUGGGCCUUGUUAGGAACCUGUGUGUUCCAUCUGAUGGACAUAAGCAAACAAUCAGGGGAAUGUGAUUCCAGAUGGGGCCUGAGCGGGUGCCAAGGAAUGACUGUUAAUUUGAACAUUGCCCUAAGGGAGAUGCAAGUGUGUUCCAGAGUUUCCCAUACUUGGCGCCUUGCAUCCUGAAGUUCAUAGGAACAAAAUUUCAGAACGUUUUUGCUACAGGAUGGAAAAUGCUUCAGCCACAGGGGAAAAGCAAAGAGAAAGACAACAGCAAUGCAUGAAACAAGUGUGGUGAUUAUCGAUAAAGCAUGUGUGGUGAUCACUG
This 3646-nucleotide long non-coding RNA is filed under the name Pongo abelii (Sumatran orangutan). RNAcentral describes it as "lincRNA". Lineage: Eukaryota; Metazoa; Chordata; Mammalia; Primates; Hominidae. The record is from RNAcentral.